AUUGAACGCUGGCGGCAUGCCUUACACAUGCAAGUCGAACGGCAGCGCGGGCUUCGGCCUGGCGUCGAGUGGCGAACGGGUGAGUAAUGCAUCGGAACGUGCCCAGCAGUGGGGGAUAGCCCGGCGAAAGCCGGAUUAAUACCGCAUACGACCUGAGGGUGAAAGCGGGGGACCGAAAGGCCUUGCGCCAUUGGAGCGGCCGAUGUCGGAUUAGCUAGUUGGUGGGGUAAAGGCUUACCAAGGCGACGAUCCGUAGCUGGUCUGAGAGGAUGACCAGCCACACUGGGACUGAGACACGGCCCAGACUCCUACGGGAGGCAGCAGUGGGGAAUUUUGGACAAUGGGGGCAACCCUGAUCCAGCCAUGCCGCGUGCGGGAAGAAGGCCUUCGGGUUGUAAACCGCUUUUGUUCGGGAAGAAAUCCUCUGGGCUAAUACCCCGGGGGGAUGACGGUACCGAAAGAAUAAGCACCGGCUAACUACGUG
This 484-nucleotide ribosomal RNA is filed under the name uncultured bacterium. RNAcentral's name for it is "partial 16S ribosomal RNA". It matches the Rfam family "Bacterial small subunit ribosomal RNA", at positions 29 to 507 of the family's 1533-position model. The record is from RNAcentral.